This 689-nucleotide ribosomal RNA is filed under the name uncultured archaeon. Its description in RNAcentral is "bacterial SSU rRNA". It matches the Rfam family "Archaeal small subunit ribosomal RNA", at positions 178 to 872 of the family's 1478-position model. The record is from RNAcentral.
CUCUGUAGCUCAAAGAUUUAUCGCCACAGGAUGGGUCUGCGGCCGAUUAGGUAGUUGUUGGGGUAACGGCCCAACAAGCCUUUGAUCGGUACGGGUUGUGGGAGCAAGAGCCCGGAGAUGGAUUCUGAGACACGAAUCCAGGCCCUACGGGGCGCAGCAGGCGCGAAAACUUUACAAUGCGGGAAACCGUGAUAAGGGAACUCCGAGUGUCCGUAAAUGCGGACUGUCCGUAUGUUUAAAAAGCAUGCGAAGAAAGGGCCGGGCAAGACCGGUGCCAGCCGCCGCGGUAAUACCGGCGGCUCGAGUGGUGGCCACUAUUACUGGGCUUAAAGCGUUCGUAGCUGGGUCGUUAAGUCUCUUGGGAAAUCUACCGGCUUAACCGAUAGGCGUCCAAGGGAUACUGGCGAUCUAGGGACCGGGAGAGGUGAGGGGUACUUCAGGGGUAGGAGUGAAAUCCUGUAAUCCUUGGGGGACCACCUGUGGCGAAGGCGCCUCACCAGAACGGCUCCGACAGUGAGGGACGAAAGCUGGGGGAGCAAACCGGAUUAGAUACCCGGGUAGUCCCAGCCGUAAACGAUGCGCGUUAGGUGUAUCGAUGACCACGAGUCAUCGAGGUGCCGAAGGGAAACCGUGAAACGCGCCGCCUGGGAAGUACGGUCGCAAGGCUGAAACUUAAAGGAAUUGGCGGG